Molecule: long non-coding RNA, 247 nt
Filed under: Brassica napus (rape)
Lineage: Eukaryota; Viridiplantae; Streptophyta; Magnoliopsida; Brassicales; Brassicaceae
Description: long non-coding RNA (BNAP_LNC013060)
Source: RNAcentral
GAAAUCGCAGUUCGGAGAUUGAUAUUCACCCAUUCCACAGGUAGGUACUUACAUAGCCUGUUUAGGUUGAGAAGAGAGGAAUAUGCAUUGAAUGAUUAAACGUAGUUGUAAUGGGUCGAAGGAUUAAAGAAAGUCGUUAAUGGCUUGAAUCAAUGCAUCCCAUAACGGUCAAGAGGAGAAGAAUCUCAAACGAAACGACACGAACAAAGCUCGAUCCAGAGAUUCAUUACCAAGAUUCUUCUCAAAU